ACCCAGUUCCAAACUUUGACCUCUUAUACUUGAAUCUCCUACAGUCAACUGUUGAUGGAGCCAGUCACUAUAAGAGAAGGAACGGAAGCUGGGACCAGUCUGUCUUCUCUGCCUCCUCCCUGUAACAGGAAAGGAAGAACAAGAGACAAACCCCUGCUUCUCCCCUGCUUCAAAAUAUGAAAUUAACGUGGAUUUUGGAGUUUUAGUUGGCCUGAUGAAGGUACCCCUUCCAAGAAUGCCUGGAUGUGUGGUCACUGAGCAAAAGUCUUUGCGAGGGCAAUGACUUGGGGUGCACAGCUGGGUCUCCAGGCCAGGGCCAAGAUGACAUGGAUAGGCCAGCGUGGCAUGUGCUGGGAUGCUCUCAUCCCUAAGCUGGAGCAUGAAAUAGCAAGAUGCAGCUCCCUGAUGUGUUGGUCCAGCAGUUGGGCGAAAAUGACCCGACCACCAAGAAGAGCGUCAACAUUAUCCUAGUCUCUGAUGUAAAGAGACUACAUAAAAAGUAUCCAACCAUCACCAUCAUUGUAGGUCAGAGCUCCUACAAUGUGAGCAAUGGCUGUGUUAAUCAUGUCCUCUGGAAGAUAAGCGUUGUGGAGCAAUGGGACACCUUGGUGGCCAUGUUAUCCCACACCCAGCAAUGAAGUUUUUGACAGUAUGGACUUUUACAGGCCUGAUGGUGUACAUUUGAUGCCUGCUGGAAAGGAAUGCUGGCUGAGCAUUGGUUGCAGCUGUAGGUGUGUUUGGUGGAAAGAUGGCAAAAAUUGGUCAACGGAUAAGGCAUUCGUUGAAAUCCUUAGUCCAAUUCUGGAUGGGGUGAAGUGGUCUAUCAUUCCAGCUUCAAGCAGGUGUGUUCACAGAAGGGCUGGGUGGUACUCUUAUUGUCUAAAACCAGUAUGGCAUUCACAUUGCAAUACUGGUUUCAUACUUUUUGAUGUACCAAUACAUCAUGGCUCCUCAGCUGCCGCGAUGUAUCAGCAUCUCAAAUUGCCUUUGCCCAAGCGGGCGGGCUGCAACUUCCCUCUUGGGGCAGUUGGUUGCUCCAGGAGGAAACACACAGCCUGCGCAUUUGGGCAAAGGCAGGUAGGCACCUUUGAGGUAGGGCUGGGUAAUGUUGGGUUUUCAACACUGUGGUUUGGUGAUAAACCGUGAUGUUGAAAGAAGCUGCAUUGGCCCCAACCGGCGAGGCGCGGUGAAA
Lacerta agilis (Sand lizard) is the source of this 1192-nucleotide long non-coding RNA. RefSeq lists it as uncharacterized. Lineage: Eukaryota; Metazoa; Chordata; Lepidosauria; Squamata; Lacertidae. The transcript has 3 exons. The record is from RefSeq and is a predicted model, not a curated record.